GUUAGGGUAGAUUUGGUUAGGUUAAGGUAGAUUGGGAUGGGUUAGGGUGGAUUGGGAUGGGCUAGGGUAGAUCAGGUUGGGUUAGGGUAGAUUGGGAUGGGUUAGGGUAGAUUGGAUUUAGUUGAGGUGGGUACUUAGGUUGAGUUGGGUUCUUGAUCAUCUUCCUUUUACAUCUUUGUUUUUUUUAUUGAAGCAAAAAAUAAUCUGUCAUCCGACACCUAUCACCAAUGUGAAAAAUUCAUUGCCCCUUUAAAAUCUGGUUCUCACUUUUAGCAGUAGUAACUGCAACCAAAUGCUUCUGAUAACUGAGAUCAGUCUUUCACUUCUAGGACUAGGAUUUACUCCUAUGCUUUGGAUCAUUGUCUUGCUGCAUGAUCCAGUUGUGUUUGAGUUUCAAAUUACAGACUGAAGACCGGACGUUCUCCUUUAGGAUUUUCUGGUAGAGAGGCAAGUUGCCCAGGCCCUGAAGCAGAAAAGCAUCCCCACACCAUCACACUUCCACCACCAUGCUUGACCAUAGGUAUGAUGUUCUUUCUGUGGAGUUUGAUGUUUGGUUUACGCCAGAUGUAACGCAACACCCGUCCUCCAAACAGUUCCACUUUCGACUCAUCAAUCCACUUAACAUUUUCCCAAAAGGUUUGAGGAUCAUCAAGGUGUGUUUUGGCAAAAUUCAGACGAGCCUUAAUGUUCUUCUGGGUUAGCAGUGGUUUUCACCUCACCACUCUUCCAUGGACGCCAUUUUUGCCCCAGUGUCUUUCUGAUAGUGGAGUCAUGAACAGUGACCUUUAUUGAUGCAAGAGAGGCAUGAAAUUCCUUUGAUGUUGUCCUUGGCUCUUUGUGACUUCCUGGAUGAGUCGUCACUGUGCUCCUGGAGGAAUUUUGGAAGGUCGGCCACUUCUGGGAAGGUUCACUACUGUGCUGAGUUUUUCCAUUUGGAGAUAACGGCUGUCACUGUAGUUCUUUGGAGUCCCAGAGCCUUUGAAAUAGCUUUGUAACCCUUCCCAGACUGAUGCAUUUCAAUCACCUUCUUCCUCAUCAUUUCUGGAAUUUCUUUCAAUUUUGGCGUAGUGUGUUACUGAGUAAGACCUUUUAACCAACUCCAUACUGUUGAAAAAGUUGUAUUUAAGUGUUGAUGUGAUUGAACAGGGUUUGCAGUAAUCAGGCCUGGUUGUGUCUAGUCCAGCUGAACUCCAUUAUGAAUGCAGUUUCCUAGAUUUGCGGAAUUAGUAACUACGGGAGCAAAUACAUUUGCACACAGGCUCAGUUGGUAUGGACAACUUUUUUUUU
Molecule: long non-coding RNA, 1287 nt
Organism: Ictalurus punctatus (channel catfish)
Lineage: Eukaryota; Metazoa; Chordata; Actinopteri; Siluriformes; Ictaluridae
Source: Ensembl